Molecule: long non-coding RNA, 787 nt
Filed under: Zostera marina
Lineage: Eukaryota; Viridiplantae; Streptophyta; Magnoliopsida; Alismatales; Zosteraceae
Description: long non-coding RNA (ZMAR_LNC001519)
Source: RNAcentral
UUCUCCAUACAUCGACUGUUAACCUCCCCCCAAAGCAAACUUCUCACUUUCUCAGCGCUUAUUGCCUUUCUUCUCAUUCUCCUCUUUUCUCAGUCUCUCAUGCUCAAUAAUUCAUCGACGCGUUUUCACAACAAUUUUAAGUUUUCCGAAUUCCUUGGCGUUUUCUAGGGUUUUUUACUUUUAUUUUAUUUGAAAUUUGAUUCUGAAAUUUCUCGACAGUUUCGACAUGCUAGGAUUACCAAAAGAGGGGAAUCAUAUAAUGUAGUAUUUAGAUUAUUGAAUUUUGCCCUUUAAUUUGUUCAACUUUUGCAGAUCUCCAACUGCUGCUUCUUGUUUACCAGACGAAAAGACAGUCAAAAGUGUCCCUCGUUCCCGUUCGCCUUCUGUACGUUUUUUUUGAAAGCACGUUUGUUAUCUUAAUCUCGUUUUAUCUUGUCGACUUACAUCUAGAUCUAAUCUUGUUUAAUUUGUUUUUCUAUUAUCUAAUAUAAAUGAAAAGCAUCAAGAAUACAUUGAAAAUAACAAAAGACACCGAGGCCUGUUUGGCCUUGGCCUGAAACUAACAAAAAGAUCCUAGUUUAUUGCUUGUAAUUACUAGUUUGUAGAUAGUAAAUCGUAAUUACUAAUUACUAAUUACAAGAUGAAACAUAUGCAUAAAUUAUGCUGAACUUGAUUCACUGUUUAUUAACUUGCCCAAUCAUUCAUAAUGAUGCAUUGACUUCAAACUCCAGAAGAGCGAUUGGCGUACUCCUGCACCAAUGCGCUGAAGAGAGAAGCCCGUUCUAUC